Small nuclear RNA from Gossypium arboreum, 161 nucleotides. It matches the Rfam family "U1 spliceosomal RNA". Rfam says of the family: U1 is a small nuclear RNA (snRNA) component of the spliceosome (involved in pre-mRNA splicing). Its 5' end forms complementary base pairs with the 5' splice junction, thus defining the 5' donor site of an intron. There are significant differences in sequence and secondary structure between metazoan and yeast U1 snRNAs, the latter being much longer (568 nucleotides as compared to 164 nucleotides in human). Lineage: Eukaryota; Viridiplantae; Streptophyta; Magnoliopsida; Malvales; Malvaceae. The record is from Rfam.
UCACUUACCUGGACGGGGCGUAUGGGCGAUCAAUGAGGCCCAUGGCCUAGGUUGGCGACUCACAUUGCACUUGGUGAGGGCGCCAGCUUAACAUCUCCCCAAGUGGGAGAGUGUACGUCAUAAUUUGUGAGAGAGGGGGCCUGCGUACGCGCGGUCCCUAC